Molecule: ribosomal RNA, 199 nt
Filed under: uncultured bacterium
Lineage: Bacteria
Description: partial 16S ribosomal RNA
Rfam family: Bacterial small subunit ribosomal RNA
Source: RNAcentral
ACGCUCGACACCUACGGGGGGCAGCAGUUGGGAAUAUUGGACAAUGGAGGAAACUCUGAUCCAGUGACGCCGCGUGAAGGAAGGAGGUCUUCGGAUUGUAAACUUAUUUUGUCAGGGAAGAAAAAAUGACUGUACCUGAAGAAAAAGCACCGGCUAACUACGUGCCGCAGCCGCGGUAAUCUGAGCGGGCUGGCAAGGC